UUGCAUUUUUAUUUGAGACAGAUACUUUUCCUUCUUGUUUUAAUGUAAUAAACCAUAUUUAAUCGUUUGUACUUUGCUUGAAGUUUUCUCUUAUGCCAAAGAAGACAAGUACCUCCAAAGUUUGAACGCUUCUACCAAGGUUUCAGAAAUUGGAGAUAAACUGUCGACAUGAUUACGAUUCUUUACAAAGUUCUUUCAAACAAGGUAAUCCUCCUCCAAGUUAUCAUUAUGAAAACUGAACAUUUCAUAACAUCAGAUCGAAUACAGAUUUGGGUGACCAGGAUUGUGAAUUAAGAAUCGUCAAAUGCAUCAAUAUUCCACUUCCUUCAGGAUCAACCUCAAACUGGCUUCACGGAAACCAUCAAACACAAC
This is a long non-coding RNA of Xenia sp. Carnegie-2017, 372 nucleotides long. RefSeq lists it as uncharacterized. NCBI's taxonomy places the organism in Eukaryota, Metazoa, Cnidaria, Anthozoa, Malacalcyonacea, Xeniidae. The transcript has 4 exons. The record is from RefSeq and is a predicted model, not a curated record.